UGGGGAAUUUUGGACAAUGGGCGAAAGCCUGAUCCAGCAAUGCCGCGUGUGUGAAGAAGGCCUUCGGGUUGUAAAGCACUUUUGUCCGGAAAGAAAUCCUUGGCUCUAAUACAGUCGGGGGAUGACGGUACCGGAAGAAUAAGCACCGGCUAACUACGUGCCAGCAGCCGCGGUAAUACGUAGGGUGCAAGCGUUAAUCGGAAUUACUGGGCGUAAAGCGUGCGCAGGCGGUUUGCUAAGACCGAUGUGAAAUCCCCGGGCUCAACCUGGGAACUGCAUUGGUGACUGGCAGGCUAGAGUAUGGCAGAGGGGGGUAGAAUUCCACGUGUAGCAGUGAAAUGCGUAGAGAUGUGGAGGAAUACCGAUGGCGAAGGCAGCCCCUGCAAGUACUGACGCUCAUGCACGAAAAGCGUGGGGAGCAAACNGGAUUAAUACCCUGGUAGUCCACGCCCUAAAACGAUGUCAACUAGUUGUUGGGGAUUCAUUUCCUUAGUAACGUAGCUAACGCGUGAAGUUGACCGCCUGGGGAGUACGGUCGCAAGAUUAAAACUUAAAGAA
This 558-nucleotide ribosomal RNA is filed under the name uncultured bacterium. RNAcentral's name for it is "partial 16S ribosomal RNA". It matches the Rfam family "Bacterial small subunit ribosomal RNA", at positions 355 to 908 of the family's 1533-position model. The record is from RNAcentral.